This 497-nucleotide ribosomal RNA is filed under the name uncultured bacterium. RNAcentral's name for it is "partial 16S ribosomal RNA". It matches the Rfam family "Bacterial small subunit ribosomal RNA", at positions 28 to 507 of the family's 1533-position model. The record is from RNAcentral.
GAUGAACGCUGGCGGCGUGCCUAAUACAUGCAAGUCGAGCGAACAGAUGAGGAGCUUGCUCCUCUGACGUUAGCGGCGGACGGGUGAGUAACACGUGGAUAACCUACCUAUAAGACUGGGAUAACUUCGGGAAACCGGAGCUAAUACCGGAUAAUAUAUUGAACCGCAUGGUUCAAUAGUGAAAGACGGUUUUGCUGUCACUUAUAGAUGGAUCCGCGCCGCAUUAGCUAGUUGGUAAGGUAACGGCUUACCAAGGCAACGAUGCGUAGCCGACCUGAGAGUGAGGUCGGGCACCCUUACACAGACACGCGCACUAGACUCAUACGGGACGGCGCAGUGGGGCAUAGUGGACAAUGGGCGUAAGCGUGAAAACACCAUACAGCGUGGGAGAAGAAGGUCUUCGGUUAGUACACCUUUUUUGUUGGGAAAGAAAAACAGUGCAACGAACCCCCGCUUUUCUGACGGUACAAAAAGAGUGGGCAACGGCUAACUUCGUG